Molecule: unclassified non-coding RNA, 436 nt
Filed under: uncultured Tomentella
Lineage: Eukaryota; Fungi; Basidiomycota; Agaricomycetes; Thelephorales; Thelephoraceae
Description: sequence contains ITS2
Rfam family: 5.8S ribosomal RNA (bases 1-155)
Source: RNAcentral
AACUUUUAGCAACGGAUCACUUGGCUCUCGCAUCGAUGAAGAACGCAGCGAAAUGCGAUAUGUAAUGUGAAUUGCAGAAUUCAGUGAAUCAUCGAAUCUUUGAACGCACCUUGCGCCCUUUGGCUAUUCUGAAGGGCAUGCCUGUUUGAGUAUCAUGAACACCUCAACUCUCAUGGUCCGCCAUGAUGAGCUUGGACUUUGGGGGUCUUGCCGGCCUAGUGUCGGCUCCUCUCAAAUGGAUCAGCUUGCCAGUGUUUGGUGGCGUCACAGGUGUGAUAACUAUCUACGCUUGUGGUUUUCUGCCAUAUAACCUUCAGUGAUGGAGGUUCUCUGGAGCUCACAGAUGUCUCUCCUUGGGGAGGACAGCUUUUGAACGUUUGAUCUCAAAUCAGGUAGGACUACCCGCUGAACUUAAGCAUAUCAAUAAGCGGAGGCU